GCGGGCCCACUCUGUUCCUUGCUGCUCACUCCAGCCUGGAACUUUUUUCGCCUGCUAUAUGAACACGCAGAAUGUAACUUUUCUUACUGGCUUUGCAAAUAAGCUGGUAUUAUUAUGUUCUGCCACAUUUCU
Small nucleolar RNA from Takifugu rubripes (torafugu), 132 nucleotides. Ensembl annotates it as small nucleolar RNA SNORA77. The record is from Ensembl. NCBI's taxonomy places the organism in Eukaryota, Metazoa, Chordata, Actinopteri, Tetraodontiformes, Tetraodontidae.